This is a long non-coding RNA of Daphnia pulicaria, 273 nucleotides long. RefSeq lists it as uncharacterized. The transcript has 3 exons. The record is from RefSeq and is a predicted model, not a curated record. NCBI's taxonomy places the organism in Eukaryota, Metazoa, Arthropoda, Branchiopoda, Diplostraca, Daphniidae.
UGUUUGUCGUUCUUCUUUGUUGCUUUGAGGUGUUUUGAGUAGGAACUGGAUGAGUAGCCUCUGGACUUCAUGCUGUGUGUUGCUGUUAUUUCUUGGGUUGAGUCCUAGCAGUUCGAGUGCAGGACAUUUUUGAAGGACGUGCUUUGUUGACUCAUCUCCAUCUUCGCAGAACUGGCAGGUGGAGUCUAGUUGGUUGUUGAAUCGAGCCAGGUUGGCUUUCAGCCUGUUGUGCCCUGUUCUGUGUUUGAACAAGACUCUUGUGAUUUUUCGUGA